This 429-nucleotide ribosomal RNA is filed under the name Bacteroidota bacterium. Its description in RNAcentral is "Bacteroidetes bacterium partial 16S ribosomal RNA". It matches the Rfam family "Bacterial small subunit ribosomal RNA", at positions 355 to 776 of the family's 1533-position model. Lineage: Bacteria; Pseudomonadati; Bacteroidota. The record is from RNAcentral.
UAGGGAAUCUUCGGCAAUGGGGGGAACCCUGACCGAGCAACGCCGCGUGAGUGAAGAAGGUUUUCGGAUCGUAAAGCUCUGUUGUUAAGGAAGAAUGAGUGUGAGAAUGGAAAGUUCAUACUGUGACGGUACUUAACCAGAAAGGGACGGCUAACUACGUGCCAGCAGCCGCGGUAAUACGUAGGUCCCGAGCGUUGUCCGGAUUUAUUGGGCGUAAAGCGAGCGCAGGCGGUUAGAUAAGUCUGAAGUUAAAGGCAGUGGCUCAACCAUUGUAGGCUUUGGAAACUGUUUAACUUGAGUGCAGAAGGGGAGAGUGGAAUUCCAUGUGUAGCGGUGAAAUGCGUAGAUAUAUGGAGGAACACCGGUGGCGAAAGCGGCUCUCUGGUCUGUAACUGACGCUGAGGCUCGAAAGCGUGGGGAGCGAACAGG